UCCUACGGGAGGCAGCAGUGGGGAAUAUUGGGCAAUGGGCGCAAGCCUGACCCAGCAACGCCGCGUGAAGGAAGAAGGCUUUCGGGUUGUAAACUUCUUUUCUCAGGGACGAAGAAAGUGGCGGUACCUGAGGAAUAAGCCACGGCUAACUACGUGCCAGCAGCCGCGGGAAUACGUAGGGGGCAAGCGGUGUCCGGGUUUACUGGGUGUAAAGGGGGGGGAGGCGGGGGUGCAAGGCAGAUGUGAAAAC
RNAcentral lists this ribosomal RNA (250 nucleotides) under uncultured bacterium. RNAcentral describes it as "partial 16S ribosomal RNA". It matches the Rfam family "Bacterial small subunit ribosomal RNA", at positions 337 to 601 of the family's 1533-position model. The record is from RNAcentral.